CGCACAUUGCGCCCAUUAGUAUUCUAGUGGGCAUGCCUGUUCGAGCGUCAUUUCAACCCUUAAGCCUAGCUUAGUGUUGGGAAUCUACUGUACUGUAGUUCCUUAAAGACAGUGGCGGAGCGAUAGUUGUCCUCUGAGCGUAGUAAUCUUUAUUCUCGCUUCUGUUAGGCUCUAUCUUCUCGCCAUAAAACCCCCAAUUUUUUAGUGGUUGACCUCGGAUCAGGUAGGAAUACCCGCUGAACUUAA
RNAcentral lists this unclassified non-coding RNA (246 nucleotides) under Apiospora pseudosinensis. Its description in RNAcentral is "partial contains 5.8S ribosomal RNA, internal transcribed spacer 2, and large subunit ribosomal RNA". Lineage: Eukaryota; Fungi; Ascomycota; Sordariomycetes; Amphisphaeriales; Apiosporaceae. The record is from RNAcentral.